Oryzias javanicus (javanese ricefish) is the source of this 796-nucleotide long non-coding RNA. The record is from Ensembl. NCBI's taxonomy places the organism in Eukaryota, Metazoa, Chordata, Actinopteri, Beloniformes, Adrianichthyidae.
GUUGCCUAACAACUGUAAAUUUAAAGUGACAGCUUUAUAAGAACAGAGUGGCACCAAGAGGAGAGAUCAGGUCAGAAUCAAACAAAUAUAUAUUUUUAAGUUACUACAAGUAGAAAUACAUAAUUCUUUUUUAUUUGAUAAAAGUUUACUUACAAGAUAGUUGCAGUUUUUGGAGUUCUGUGGUCCUCGGGAAACUGGCUCCCUUUCACCAGCAGCUGGAGCAAAAGCGGUUUGUCACGCACCAAACCCCCAUGGCUCCAGGUGUGGAAUGAAAGCAGCAAUAGUUCCAGCGGUUUGCUUCAGAAAAGGUCCCAACAACUCCUCUGUGUGGAACCAAAAUCCCCUUCUCCCUCCCCUUGUGACCCUCCUCCACUCAGUACUAAUCUCCUUGUGCCCAUUGGAUUGACAGCAGUACCUUUCAGCGGGCUGAGACCCCCUUCACCCUGCACCCCAUGGGGCUCAUCGCAGUUUGGCCUAUUUUGCAGACCUCCUCCUCUUCUCCUGCAGAUGAAGCGUGGACAGCAACUUUACCGCGGAGUGCAUUCUUCUGUAAAGAUUGACGGACCCCAUGAAGACCAGUCCCAAAGUAUCCAAGUAUCCAUGCAACAACUGUAAUUAAUGUGAUACUUCAAAUGUUUUAACUUAUUUAUAUAGUUAAAUUUAAUUAAUAAGGUGCCACCAUUCCCAUGAGUUAAAACAUGUUGUUGAAAUUAAACCCUAAAGAGACCGGCUUUUCAAGUACAGGAAGAUCCCCUUACACGUUACAUAUAAGGAUCCCAUGAGGACCAAUAUAGAC